RNAcentral lists this ribosomal RNA (472 nucleotides) under Pseudomonas sp. NN018605. RNAcentral's name for it is "bacterial SSU rRNA". It matches the Rfam family "Bacterial small subunit ribosomal RNA", at positions 30 to 494 of the family's 1533-position model. The record is from RNAcentral. Lineage: Bacteria; Pseudomonadati; Pseudomonadota; Gammaproteobacteria; Pseudomonadales; Pseudomonadaceae.
AUUGAACGCUGGCGGCAGGCCUAACACAUGCAAGUCGAGCGGCAGCACGGGUACUUGUACCUGGUGGCGAGCGGCGGACGGGUGAGUAAUGCCUAGGAAUCUGCCUGGUAGUGGGGGAUAACGCUCGGAAACGGACGCUAAUACCGCAUACGUCCUACGGGAGAAAGCAGGGGACCUUCGGGCCUUGCGCUAUCAGAUGAGCCUAGGUCGGAUUAGCUAGUUGGUGAGGUAAUGGCUCACCAAGGCGACGAUCCGUAACUGGUCUGAGAGGAUGAUCAGUCACACUGGAANUGAGACACGGUCCAGACUCCUACGGGAGGCAGCAGUGGGGAAUAUUGGACAAUGGGNGAAAGCCUGAUCCAGCCAUGCCGCGUGUGUGAAGAAGGUCUUCGGAUUGUAAAGCACUUUAAGUUGGGAGGAAGGGCAUUUACCUAAUACGUAAGUGUUUAACGUUACCGACAGAAUAAGCACC